GAUGAACGCUGGCGGCGUGCCUAAUACAUGCAAGUCGAGCGAACCGACCGGGAGCUUGCUCCUCUGACGUUUGCGGGGGACGGGUGAGUCACACAUGGAUAACCUACCUCUCAGACUGGGAUGAUUUCGGGAGACCGGAGCUAAUACCGGAUGAUAUAUUGAACCGCAUUGUUCCAUAGUGAAAGAUGGUUUUUCUGUAACUUAUAGAUUGUCACGCGCCGCAUCAGCAACUUGGGAAGGUAACUGCUUACCCAGGCAACGAUGAUUAGACGACCUGCGAGGGUCAACGCACAGACGGGAAUUGAGGCACGGUACAGACUCCUACAGUAGGCACCAGGAGAGAAUCUUCCGCAAUGCGCGAAAGCCUGACGGAGCAACAUCGCCGGAAUCAUGAAGGUCUUCGGUUCCGAAAACUCUGUUAUUAGUGAGGAACGAAAGUGUAUGUAACUAGGCACGUAUUGACGGUACCUGAUCAGUAAGCAACGGCUAACUACGUG
This 497-nucleotide ribosomal RNA is filed under the name uncultured bacterium. RNAcentral's name for it is "partial 16S ribosomal RNA". It matches the Rfam family "Bacterial small subunit ribosomal RNA", at positions 28 to 507 of the family's 1533-position model. The record is from RNAcentral.